Molecule: small RNA, 16 nt
Filed under: Arabidopsis thaliana (thale cress)
Lineage: Eukaryota; Viridiplantae; Streptophyta; Magnoliopsida; Brassicales; Brassicaceae
Description: ATSL005100
Source: RNAcentral
UGAAGAAGCGGGCUAA